CCUACGGGUGGCAGCAGUGGGGAAUAUUGGACAAUGGGGGCAACCCUGAUCCAGCCAUGCCGCGUGUGUGAAGAAGGCCCUCGGGUUGUAAAGCACUUUCAGUGAGGAAGAACGCCUGGUGGUUAAUACCCAUCAGGAAAGACAUCACUCACAGAAGAAGCACCGGCUAACUCCGUGCCAGCAGCCGCGGUAAUACGGAGGGUGCGAGCGUUAAUCGGAAUUACUGGGCGUAAAGCGCGCGUAGGUGGCUUGAUAAGCCGGUUGUGAAAGCCCCGGGCUCAACCUGGGAACGGCAUCCGGAACUGGCAAGCUAGAGUGCAGGAGAGGAAGGUAGAAUUCCCGGUGUAGCGGUGAAAUGCGUAGAGAUCGGGAGGAAUACCAGUGGCGAAGGCGGCCUUCUGGACUGACACUGACACUGAGGUGCGAAAGCGUGGGUAGCAAACAGGAUUAGAUACCCGAGUAGUC
This 465-nucleotide ribosomal RNA is filed under the name Vreelandella stevensii. Its description in RNAcentral is "partial 16S ribosomal RNA". It matches the Rfam family "Bacterial small subunit ribosomal RNA", at positions 338 to 795 of the family's 1533-position model. Lineage: Bacteria; Pseudomonadati; Pseudomonadota; Gammaproteobacteria; Oceanospirillales; Halomonadaceae. The record is from RNAcentral.